This 253-nucleotide ribosomal RNA is filed under the name uncultured bacterium. RNAcentral's name for it is "partial 16S ribosomal RNA". It matches the Rfam family "Bacterial small subunit ribosomal RNA", at positions 524 to 776 of the family's 1533-position model. The record is from RNAcentral.
UACAGAGGUCUCAAGCGUUGUUCGGAUUCAUUGGGCGUAAAGGGUGCGUAGGCGGCGCGGUAAGUCGGGUGUGAAAUCUCGGAGCUUAACUCCGAAACUGCAUUCGAUACUGCCGUGCUUGAGGACUGGAGAGGAGACUGGAAUUUACGGUGUAGCGGUGAAAUGCGUAGAUAUCGUAAGGAAGACCAGUGGAGAAGGCGGGUCUCUGGACAGUUCCUGACGCUGAGGCACGAAGGUCAGGGGAGCAAACGGG